GAGAGAAAAACAAGCAAGAGAAUUGAAAUGUUUUUUAAUAUCAUGCUGCUUUCUCCUGGUCGUGGAAAUUGAGGACAGUGCCUGUUCUCAGGGAUGUGACCAUGUGAACAAGAAGGCGGCUUUUUGUGCUGAGAGAAGCUGUGAGCUCUUCACCCUUCAGGCUGGACAGUCAUGGGUGAGAAGGCAGAAAAGGAAAGUGGAGAAAAAGAAACAUGAAAAGAUCCUGCCCUAUAUUAAAUACAGAAUGUAGAGAAAAUAA
Talpa occidentalis (Iberian mole) is the source of this 259-nucleotide long non-coding RNA. RefSeq lists it as uncharacterized. The transcript is spliced from 3 exons. NCBI's taxonomy places the organism in Eukaryota, Metazoa, Chordata, Mammalia, Eulipotyphla, Talpidae. The record is from RefSeq and is a predicted model, not a curated record.